GGGUUGUGAGGUUAAGCGACUAAGCGUACACGGUGGAUGCCCUGGCAGUCAGAGGCGAUGAAGGACGUGCUAAUCUGCGAUAAGCGUCGGUAAGGUGAUAUGAACCGUUAUAACCGGCGAUUUCCGAAUGGGGAAACCCAGUGUGAUUCGUCACACUAUCAUUAACUGAAUCCAUAGGUUAAUGAGG
Molecule: ribosomal RNA, 187 nt
Filed under: Escherichia coli
Lineage: Bacteria; Pseudomonadati; Pseudomonadota; Gammaproteobacteria; Enterobacterales; Enterobacteriaceae
Description: partial 23S ribosomal RNA
Rfam family: Bacterial large subunit ribosomal RNA
Source: RNAcentral